GUGUCCUUAGCUCAGUCAGUUGAGCGCGGCGCCAACAACGCCAAGGUCGCGGGUUCGAUUCCCGUUGGGUCCC
Molecule: transfer RNA, 73 nt
Filed under: Apaloderma vittatum (bar-tailed trogon)
Lineage: Eukaryota; Metazoa; Chordata; Aves; Trogoniformes; Trogonidae
Rfam family: tRNA
About the family: Transfer RNA (tRNA) molecules are approximately 80 nucleotides in length. Their secondary structure includes four short double-helical elements and three loops (D, anti-codon, and T loops).
Source: Rfam by way of RNAcentral